Molecule: ribosomal RNA, 433 nt
Filed under: uncultured bacterium
Lineage: Bacteria
Description: partial 16S ribosomal RNA
Rfam family: Bacterial small subunit ribosomal RNA
Source: RNAcentral
AACGAACGCUGGCGGCAUGCCUAACACAUGCAAGUCGAACGAGACCUUCGGGUCUAGUGGCGCACGGGUGCGUAACGCGUGGGAACCUGCCCUUAGGUUCGGAAUAACUCCCCGAAAGGGGUGCUAAUACCGGAUAAUGUCUUCGGACCAAAGAUUUAUCGCCUUUGGAUGGGCCCGCGUUGGAUUAGCUAGUUGGUAGGGUAAAAGCCUACCAAGGCGACGAUCCAUAGCUGGUCUGAGAGGAUGAUCAGCCACACUGGGACUGAGACACGGCCCAGACUCCUACGGGAGGCAGCAGUGGGGAAUAUUGGACAAUGGGCGAAAGCCUGGUCCAGCAAUGCCGCGUGAGUGAUGAAGGCCGUAGGGUUGUAAAGCUCUUUUACCCGGGAUGAUAAUGACGGUACCGGGAGAAUAAGCUCCGGCUAACUCCGUG